Canis lupus familiaris (dog) is the source of this 4883-nucleotide RNA transcript. It is a transcript of the gene named heat shock protein family B (small) member 3, with no coding region annotated. The transcript is spliced from 16 exons. NCBI's taxonomy places the organism in Eukaryota, Metazoa, Chordata, Mammalia, Carnivora, Canidae. The record is from RefSeq and is a predicted model, not a curated record.
UGUACACUAGGACCCUGGCCAGGAAGAUAUUGGGGUUUCAUAGCUCUCAAGCUACAAAGGCAUCUGCAGUUGGCUCCAGGAAGAGGCUCUGAAAUAGAAGCUUCCAACUAUGUAUUCAUAGGGGACUUGAUUUCUAAAUGAGGAACAGACAACCUGCUGAGAAAUACCUGUGUGUCUCAAAUUGCAAAGCUGGAACAAAAGGGGUUUAGUGAUGCAGAGCAAGGAAAUCCUCAGGAACAGACUAAGGGUUUAAAGUCCAACAAUUCACUCCUGUUUCUCUGCCUGAGCUGAAUUCAACAGAUAAGAAGAAAGUCUUAAUGAUUAAUAAGCCCUCUGGAGCAAGAAAGGGAGUUUAUUUUCAUUUUACAGAUGAAGAAACCGAGGCCCUGAGGGAUCAAAACACCUAUUUGAGGAUGAAGUUGGGAUUCCAUUCCAUGUUUGUGGCAGUAUAAGUGGCAAAAAGACUUUCCGGUAAGUGAUCUGGCAACGUGCAACAGCAGCACAAACCAUUUUCAGGUGUGCAGUAUAGUGAUUCAGCACUUCUAUCCAUCACCUGGUGCUCAUCACAUCCUCAACAAAGGAUCAACCAAAGAUGGGACCAUGGCAGCAGGCUAUCCAGAAGUACUUGGAAAGUUUAUCUCCAGCCCUAAUGAAAGGCUCCUGGAUUCUGUGUGCUCACCCCUGCUGUGGACUUGCUGCAGGACCUCCAGCCAGGAUCAUCAGAUCAUUCACUCUGAGACUGCUGAUUACACAUGCCAGCUGCCAUGUAAUCAGCAGUCCAAUUGAGAAGCCUGCAUGAAAAACACCCAGAUUAAGAGGUACCAUACUAAAAGGAACUGUAUCCAAGGAGCCUCCUGUGAACCUGGACCUGACUUAAAUGAUCUGAGUCUGGAUUUUGAACUGAUGCUGUAAUGGAAAGAGGACUUUAGAAGUCUUGGGAUGGGGCUGCUCCUGUGUUUUCAAGCCCUCCUUUCUGGAACAUGUGAAAGCUUGUUCACAGACUCCUUACAAGCAAGACGCUCUCUCUGAGGAUCCAAGUCUGGAAGCACUUUAUGAGCAACAAUUGGAGAUCUGUCUGUUCUGUUAGUGCAUUCCAUGGGAGUGUUAUACUGUCUGGAAAGAAAAGCUCUGUGCAGACCACUUUUACGUGGACACCACGAAUGGCUUAUGACAAGGGGGCCAUAGUGGUGGACAUGAAGGUUAUGCAUGGGCUCAGCAACAAGGACUUCCACUCACCAAGCCUGACCUGGCUAUCGCUACCACUGAAUGCUCGAUCUGUCAACAGCAGAGACCAACCCUGAAACCCUGAUACAGCACCAUUUCCCAUAGAUAGCUGUGUGGUGGCAGGUUGAUUAUGUUAGACCACUUCCAUCAUGGAAAGGACAGCAUUUUGUUCUCACUGGAAUACAGACCUACUCUGAAUACAGAUUUGCCUUCCCUUGCAUGCAAUGCUUUUGCCAAAACUACCAUCCAUGGAUUCAUACAAAGCCUUAUCCACCAUUAUGGUAUUUCACACAGCAUUAUUUCCCAUCAAAGAACUCACUUCACAGCAAAAGAAGUGCAACAUUGGGUCCUUUCUCAGGGAAUUCACUGGUCUUACUUGUGUUUCCCACUGUCCUGAAGCACAUGGCUUAACAGAAUGGUGGAAUGGCCUUUGGAAGACUUAGUUAUAGUGUCAGCUAGGUAACAAUACCUUGAGGUUCUGGGGCAAGGUUUUCUAGAAGGCCACAUAGGCUCUGAAUCAGUAUCCCAUAUAUGAUGUUGUUUCACCAAUAGCCAAGAUUCACAAGUCCAAGGAUCGAGGGGUAGAAAUAGGAGUGGCACAAUUCACUAUUCCCACUAUUCAACCUCUAGCAGAAUUUUGCUUCUUUUCUCACAACUUUAUUAUCUGCUGACCUAGAGGUCUUAGUUCCAGAAGGAAGAAUCCAGUGGCUUUCACCAGGACAAAGCAAUGAUCCCAUUAAACUGGAAGUUAAGACUGCCACCUGGCAACUUUGGGCUCCUCACAUCUCUAAAUCAACAAGCAAAGAAGGACGUAUGUGAGUGGGAUGACUGAUCCUGAUUACCAAGGGGGAACUGGACUACCACUCCAUAAUGGAGGUAGAAGAGUAUGUCUGGAAUACAGAAGACGCCCUAUGGCAUCUCUGAGUAUUACCAUGACCUGUGAUUAAGAUCAAUGGAAAACUACAACCCCAUCCAGGUAGAACUACUGAUGGUCCAGAACCUUUAGUUAUGAAGGUCUGGGUCACCCUCCCAGGUCAAGAACCAGCUGAAAUACUUGCUGAAGGCAAAGGCAAUAUAGAAUGGAUAGUGGAAGAAGGGCCUGCCUAGAGGACAAGUAUGGCUGGAGAUAUGAAUCUGAGAUUUUAUACAUACACUCAAAAGCUGACACUGUGAGAAGUGAAGCUCCCCGACAAAAGGAUGCCAAAGGAGGUAGAAGAGAAAUAUAGAAGAGGGAAUGUGGGCAACCCAGUGCUGCAGAUGAUCUGCCCAUCCAGAUUCUCCAUCUUCAUGCCUCUGCAUCAUCAAGCUUUUACCUGAUAAGUAUUAUUUUUAUUACCCUUUUCUCUACCUGCCAACAUUGUUUACCUUGAUCAUGUUUCACUUGGAAUCAUUCAAGAGUUCCCUAAGCCUUGCCACCUUCAAUGGUUUGGUCUUCCUAUUGCCUGAUCUUGUCAUGUCCCUCAUUCAAAUGCCUCCCUCCUCAUUCAGCCCAAUUUCCUUACAGCAUUUGUUCCUAUUCAUUCCUUCUACACCUCACCUUGUGUUAUCAUACACCGUAAUAUUCCUGAUUUCCUGUAUUUCUCAGUACCCACCAUGCUUUUUAUACUCUUGUGUUUUUGAUAUUUUCCCUGCCUCAUAUACUAAUCCUCUUUUUGACUAAGCCAUUUUCCUUUAAAAUCUCAGGUCUUAUAAUUGCCAAUGACACGAUAUGAGGAAAGGAAAUUAGAAACACAAUAUUUGGAAAGAAUAUUGUGACCCAGGAAAAUUCAAAAGAAACAACAGAAAAAUUACUACCAGCAGUAAGAGAAUUUCUAUAAGGUAGCAUGGUCUAGUGAGUACCCUGAAAGGUCCAUCAAAUGGGGAAUGGAACAUUUAAAUAAAUUAUGGCACAUCCAUAUAAUAUGAUGGUAUGGUGCUAUAAGAAAGAAUGAGGACACUAUAUUCUGACAUGGAAGUAUUUCUAAGAUACAUCAUUAAAUUUAAAAAGCAAGUUGCAGAACAAUGUGUAUAGUGUACCUCUUUGUGUAAUGGAGGGGGAGGGAAAAACAUGUUGUGUAAGGGAACUCUUGAAUAACAACAAGGAACUACAAAAGUUUUUGCUUUUGGACAAGGAUGGGGAAGAGGGUUGGAAGUAGACAGUGGUCAGUAUGGGAGCAAAACUGCCCACUGUGUACUCUAAUGUUGUUGAGUUUUGAGUUCUGUGAAUUUAACACCUGUGAAUUUAACACCUGUGCAAAAGACAGAUACCUAAAAGAAAAUAAAAAACAAAACCUCAGGCAUUACCUCUAUUCUUCUAGGUCUCCUUAAUACGAGAGGAUGUCUAGUAAGGUGGCUAAGAACAGAGGCUUGGCACCAGGCCCACCUGGAUUUAAUCCUGUAACUGCACUCACCAGGUUUUUGGCCUUAGGAAAGUCCUGUAUCCUGAGUCUCCAUUCUCCUCCUUUAUAAUUUGGGAAUGGCAAUCCUCAAAACAAUCCUUUUAGAUGAAUAUCAAGUGCGAUAAUAUUUGUAAUGUAAUUAACACAGUAAUUUACAUACAACUAGCACCUGGUGUUUCAUACAUACACGUGAGAAAUAUAUAUCUAUAGGUAUAUAUACACAUAUAUACAUACAACUCACAUAUAAAUACAUACAUAUAUGUCCAUAUUAACAUACGCACUUGUAUAUAUACCUAUAUAUGUGUGCGUGCCUAACACACUGCAUUGAAAUGAUCCGUUUCUAUUUCUCUCUGCCAAAACUCUCCUUGUUCCCAUCCCCAUAGAUUUCUAUGAUUUAUUAAUAUUUUUAUCUCCACUACUGGCUUAUUUAGGUGCUCAAGAAAUAUUUGUUAAAUUGUUGAUGAACUAAGCAUGGUCAGCUCUUAAGACUCUGAACAGAGGGGGAAGAAAACCAACAGAAAUACUCUGAAAAAUUUCAGUCGAGUCAUCUAACUCCUAAGAUGUCUGUUGUGCUUGUGGCCUGACCAACCUCCUUGAAGAUCUUAAAGCAUUUCCAAGAGAAACACAGUUUAUGCUACCCAGCAUCCCCUCAGACAUUUUCUCCAGCAAAGAUUAAGUCAGAUUCUCCUGUAAUUUCUGAUCUCCAGGCAAGAUACCACUUCAUACAUUUCUUCUUUCCUGUGCAAUCCCUUCUUUUCAUGCUUACUGAAGAAAAUGAGUGACUGAAGGAGGCCAUGUGUCAUCGGUCUGCUGUUCCUAUUUCUUGUACUUUUGUGUAACUGCCUACCGGGCAUUUCCACCAGGGUGUGGGCGCCUCAAAGUCAACAUCCAAAACUGCACUCACCUCCCUGGACUCUCAUAGAUGCCUCAUCUCAGCAUAUGACCCUCCAUCUACUUGGUUUCCUGGGCUCCUCUCAAUUCUAAGUUCUACGGGACCAUUUCAGUCUUGGUUAGCACUAGCACGGUUGUUGAUUUGAAGAGAAGCAUCAUUUGGUUGCCCUUAGAAGCAUUUAGUUAUAGCUGGCAACGGAGAAGCAGAGGCAAAAAGACCCAGACACAUGAAGAACUACUGAGAAGAGCUGACUCGAGGGAGGAAAUUCUUUGAACAAAUAUUUGUUAGUUGCCUACCAUGUCUGUUUUGUUCAUUGCUGUAUCCUCAGUGCCUGGGACAAACUUUCUGUUCUGAAAAGGUUUGGAUUCUAAUAAAGGAGCCAAUUAAUA